Molecule: long non-coding RNA, 619 nt
Organism: Clupea harengus (Atlantic herring)
Lineage: Eukaryota; Metazoa; Chordata; Actinopteri; Clupeiformes; Clupeidae
Source: Ensembl
ACGUCACAGAAGGCAUUCCAGAAGGAGUAGGGGGUGUUCUCUGUUCUCAGUCCUCGGUUCUAGAACUCUGCUCAUUCUCGGGUCUGUUCCCUUUCUGCAUGGAUCUAUAAAGAAUCUGGAUCAGAGAAAUCAAUAUGGCUGCCGUUCUGUCCCACUUGCCCUGGCUGUCAGAGGCGUCUUCAGUCAACGUCCAUGACUGACAUGAGUUGGGGAGGGGAAUUAGAACUUGAGCCUGUUUGUUGACUGACAGAGAGCAUCUUGGGAAGUGUAGUUCCCUGGAGGGCUGGAUCAAUAGGUGGAGAAAGACCGUGAGUCUGUGGGGAAAAGGCAGAGACUGAGGAAGAGGGAGACAGAGAGGUGCAGAGGGUUUCCAUAAUAGAUAGAGAGGUAUAGAGAGCAAAGAGAUAUACAGGUAUAGAGAGCAAAGAGAUAGACAGGUAUAGAGAGCAAAAACAUAGACAGGUAUAGAGAGCAAAGACAUAGACAGGUAUAGAGAGUGAAUAGAAGAUGAAAGCUGAAGGGAAAUAGAAAUAAUGAUAGACAGGCAGAGAGAUGGACAGAGAGGGAGAGACAGACAGACGGACAGAGAGAGAGAGAGAGAGAGAGAGAGACCGACAGA